AAUACAUAGUUUGUAUUUGAAUAGUUAGAUUAACGUGUUAGUAAUCCAAUUGUAGGCGGUUCGUGUGUGGAUCUCGUCAGCAUAUCGUCGCAAACAGGUGAGCCUUGAUGUGGGUGACUUGGAGCCGGAGGGGAUUCAGAGUGGCCAUGGUGAAUACUUUUGGGUUUGAAAAAGAGACUGGUUUUCUUAACUUAUUUUUAAUUACUAUUUAAUUUUUGGGUUGUAAUAA
Long non-coding RNA from Gossypium arboreum, 229 nucleotides. RefSeq lists it as uncharacterized. NCBI's taxonomy places the organism in Eukaryota, Viridiplantae, Streptophyta, Magnoliopsida, Malvales, Malvaceae. The record is from RefSeq and is a predicted model, not a curated record. The transcript has 2 exons.